RNAcentral lists this unclassified non-coding RNA (222 nucleotides) under Melitaea cinxia (Glanville fritillary). RNAcentral's name for it is "misc RNA ENSMCXG00005001792.1". The record is from RNAcentral. Lineage: Eukaryota; Metazoa; Arthropoda; Insecta; Lepidoptera; Nymphalidae.
GACCAAACUGCCAAGAAGAAAGACAAGAUGAAAACUGGGUCUACGUCGACACAGUUAGAAACAAAAUGUCCAGAAAUCACACACGGAGAGGUCAUUGUGGACAGGAAGAGUUUAUUCCAGGGUCACGCUGCCAAAGUUCAUAACAUAGAUGACCUUAAUGCCGUGUUAGCGAAAUUAAGAACAAUUAAAAAAAACUACAAAAAGCAAAACACAACAUGUACG